This is a non-coding RNA of Xyrichtys novacula (pearly razorfish), 4381 nucleotides long. The record is from the annotation of a GenBank genome assembly. Lineage: Eukaryota; Metazoa; Chordata; Actinopteri; Labriformes; Labridae.
GUUGAGAUGAUGGCCCGGAGGUUUGAGACCCUCUGCAUAUUUAACUGUGUGUGUGUGUGUGUGUGUGUGUGUGUGUGUGUGUGUGUGUGUGUGUGUGUGUGUCAGCCUGAAUUCAUGGGCAUGUCAGUCAGCCUGCAGGAGGAGAGAGGGAGGAGGGAGGAGGCCUGAGGAGAACAUGAAAUACUGUCACAAUGAAGGACAUGAAAACGAAGGAUUCAAACAAUAAAACGACAACACGACGACGACACUGUCUGUGCACAAACAUUUCUGAUCAUUUCUUCAUGGAAAUACAAUCAGACCGAGACGCUAAGACAGAAGAACUACCGCGUCUGUAAAAUGAUCAAUAUGGUGAUUAUUACUUCAAGGAAAUGAUAAAGAAAUGAUCAUAAAUGUUCUUCCUUGAGCUGCGGCACCCCGCUGUAGUCUGUAAUGGACUGGCCUGAGGUCUCUCUACAAACAAGCGUCUGCUGGAAGAGAGUAGGUGAGUUUUCUCUCUGUAAAUAUUUGAGACUGAACCUCUACGGUCUGUGUCGGAUGGAGAUAAUGACCUCUCAGUAUAGAGCUGUAACUAUAUAGAUGUCCCGGUCUGUCAGUGUCAGUCUGGACCGUCGCUCUCUGGUGUCUCCUGUCCUGAUCAGCUGUAAUUAAAGGACCUGUUUCUGGACCUCUUUGUGGCACAGAUCCGGUCCGCUCUGAAGGUUGUGACUGUCUCCCUCUAUCGCCAUGGUAACCGUCCACCCAUGCUGAACUUAUUACUCCGCCGUCUCCUUCCCACAGACCUUGAUGAGGUUCUGGACAGGCCUGCUGACAUUUCUGUUGUGUCGGUAGACGCAGCGACGCCCAAAUGUCAGCCCUCGCUGAAAAAGUGACAAACUUUGGUGGUUAAUGUCGGCGCGUGAGACGGGUGAGAGAGUUUCCCUGCAGGUGUGAUGUCUGUCAUCAGGUGAGUUUACAUCAGCUGACAGGAGGAUGAGAGCGCAGACAGACAGAUGGAUCAGGCGUCUUCUUCUACACGUGCUCGUCACCUCUAAAUAUUUCAAAGUCAUGAAUAAAACAUGACGGGGUUCGACGCCAACAGGUGGAGGGGAGAUUGCACCGCUCUGCAUCACUCCGCUCUCUUUGUCUGCAUCUCUAUUUCCUACAUUCGAUUAUCUGCUUUUGUCCAAAGUGGUUAGUUUUUUUUCUCCUCAUGCAUCAGGAGCAAUUUCAGGGCUAAAUGUUCCUCUCAAGGACACAUUAGAGAAGCUCUUUAUGUUUUUCUCUGUUUAUUUAAAGGCCGUUUUUACGAGGCAGCAGAGAGAAAAGCUGUUAAUGUUUCUGGUUAACAUGAAAUUGAUCUUUAUUACUGAGGUUGUUGCUUUAUUUUCUUUCAGCCUCGGUUUAAUCUCGCAGAGGAAACAUGAUUUAAAGCUCCUGUGAGGAGAACGUCGUUAUUUUUUACUGUUUAUAAAACAGGCAGAUAUUGACAUUAAUGCGUCUUCAUGACCAAGAGGAGUAACCGAGACCACUGCAGUGAGAUUCAUGGAUUCUUCAUGGUCACCAUGUCCAGAUCUAACUUCAGGUUGACCUUUAGGAGGAGGGUCUUCAUGCAUGUCAGCCACGUCAGCCGGACCUCCAACUCUCCAAUCCUGAAACUUUAAAACAAACUCAUAAACAGGCUGUAAACAUGUAAAUCUAAAGUCAGCCUCUAGUGGACACUCGAGGAACUGCAGUUUUUAGCACUUCAGCAUCAGCAGAAGUCGCUGCUUGGUCAGUAAAAGACGAACCUUUAAUUAUUUUCUUCUAAAUCUGUAAAAAUAUCAUGUUGGUGUUGGUUAUGAUCCUGGUCGAUGUUUGUCUUUGAACAGAAAAGUGAUGAUGAAGACGAGGAGGAAGAAGAGGCCGGCUCAUGUUCUCUCAUGUUCCUGUCUCUCACUUCCAUCCUGAUGCUCCUGGACACUCUGAGAUCUACUCGGAUCAUUUCGAGCUUUCCUCCUCUCUGAACCUUUGAGUCGACGACCUCCAAGAGAAGCUGAAGGUCAGACGUACUUUUUCACUUUUUCUCUUUUGACUCUUUCUGGAGAAAUCGAAUAUGCGGUCGCUGCUCCUGCAGGUUUCUCUUCGACUGAAAAGAAGAGAAGAGAAAUCUGCAGAGCGUUGCCAUCAGUGUUGUUUUCGUCAGGCAGGACGAAAACUUAAAUGACGACGUCAGACCCCUUUUUUCCUUGACGAAAAUGAGACUAAGACGAACGUCACCAAAGCUCGUAAAGACUAAAAUGUGACGAAAAUUGUAUUGAUUUUCGUCAGACGAGAACGAGACGAGACUACAUUGUUAUUAGGUGGACGAACAAAGUUUCAAAACAUGAUUUUUUUUGUCCUAACAGUCACGCCCCCAUCACACACGCACCAAAAGCCUCGCUCGCUCACAGCUGCGCGCACACACUCAUACACAUACACAGAGCGGCAGGUGGACGAGGCGCGCACACACACACACACACACACACACACACACACCGUGGCGGCAGGCACAGCAGCGGUGCCCGGUGGCCGAAAAAAGAGGGAUGAUUUUUGGUCCUACUUCAGAUACAGUCCAAGUGACAAUAAAAUAAAAGUGACAAUAAAACACGGGACGGGGAGACGAGACAGACGACAGUUGAGGAGCCACAGCUUCCUCAUGCUGCGGCUUCAAACUGUCGGGAAAGAACACCACGAACCUCAAAAGGCACCUUUACGUCGACUAAAACUAGACUAAAACCUUUUGAGUUUUCGUCGGACUAAAACUAGACGAAAACUAUCAAGGAUAGAAAUGACUAAAAUGGGACUAAAACGAAGAAGCAUUUCGUCAAAAUGACUAAGACUAAAACUAAAUCUAAAAUGCCUGCCAAAAACAACACUGGUUGCCAUCUGAGGUGGCAACACUCUGUGAGAGGUCAGUGACUCUCUCUAGACCGGACAAGAGCUAAAAAGCCGGGUCAACAUAAACGAUGGGGGACGCUUGGGGAUCUUGGUGACCCUGUAACCUUUCUGCUGGACAGGUAAACCGCUUUAACAAAGUAAGACAAGUGUCUGUAACAGAAGUGUUUCUUUAUCCUCGUUGUACCUUUAAAACUUUAAAACAGGAAAAGACAAAUCAAGAACCCCGACAGGAACAGCCGAGCAGAAGAAGCCGUCAGCUCUUCUCCCUCAAACAUCUAAACCUUCAAUAUAAAGAGGUUAGAUCAGCGCGGUGUGACCCGUGUUUGAUGGGAGGAUGAGCCCUGCAGCUGCAGCCAUGAGACCAUAAAUGCUGAAAAUGAAAAAAGGAGCAGAGACACGAAGCUUCAGCUCUCAUCACUUCAGCUCGGAGCUUUUCUCAGAGCAUGCGUGAGGACUCCUCUCAUCACCAGCUGAAUGACUCUGUGAUAGGGAACAUGUGCUGGAGGCCUUUUCAUGCAUAUCGUCGAGAGCUUCUCCUAUCUGCAGGCAAACAGCCCUAUCAGCCACUCCCAGCAUCCUUUGCAGUUUCAGUCAUGCAGCCUGAGGAGAGCUGCCACGAAGAGUCGGGCCUCCUCUAUCUCAGCUCAGCACACAUCAUUAAAAUCCAGCUGUGGUCGAGCGAACGCACGAGGAGGAGGGGGAGGAAACAGGCGAUGAAGAAAGGAGGGUGACAGAGGAGCAUGUCAACAAACGGAGCUGAGAUGGAGCUGAGAUGGAGAUGAGAUGGUGUCGGAUGUUCAGAUCUGAUCAGAUGAGGAUCUGACAGACAGUGAGAGAGUAAUCAAGUGUUUGAAACGCCGUUUUCUGCUGUUAGUUUUAAAGAUCCUGAUCAUCUCGUCUGUCAGGGAAAAAAAAGGACGAGGAUGAAUAUUUAUCAGAGUUUAUAAAAAACCUGGUUCUGGUCUGACGGAGGAGCUGACGGAGGUUUCUCAGCUGUGCCUGUUGACACUGUGGAAAAAUACUUUAGUUCUGAUGUGGUAGAACUUCUCAGUCACGUUAAUUUAUGAAGUAAAACUGAAGAUCAACUUUGAGUCCAGUUUGGAUAAGAAGGGAACGUAAACUGAGUUAAAGUCCUGGUUGACGAUCACACACACACAAACCCCUCCCCUCUGUGCUCCACCAUAACUCCGCCCCCUGAACCUGUAUCCCCUCCCCACGACACGCCUCCUCUGGCAGAAGAUCCUACGCUAGCUUCACCAUGUCGGACAUGAACGAUAAAAGGAGAUAAAAAUGACCUGUUCAACUAAAACUCUGCUGUCUUGGCGUCUGUUUUCUCCACCACUCCAAGGAUGACCUGAUGGUGAUUCACGUUAGAUUUCUCGUUUGGUCACAUGUCCUCUCUGACUCCGCCCUUUCUUCUGUCAGUUUGCGUUUUCUUCCCACUUUUGGCGGUGCGGCGAGCAGUGUUUUUUUUUUUUUGCGUCCU